Molecule: transfer RNA, 75 nt
Filed under: Actinomycetospora succinea
Lineage: Bacteria; Bacillati; Actinomycetota; Actinomycetes; Pseudonocardiales; Pseudonocardiaceae
Also listed under: 5 other names
Description: tRNA-Pro
Rfam family: tRNA
About the family: Transfer RNA (tRNA) molecules are approximately 80 nucleotides in length.
Source: RNAcentral
CGGGGUGUGGCGCAGCUUGGUAGCGCGCCUCGUUCGGGACGAGGAGGCCGUGGGUUCGAAUCCCGCCACCCCGAC